GGGUCAGUAGGUUGGUCGUGCCACCGGUACGUACUGGUCUCACUGAUUCCUCCUUCCUGAAGAACCGUAAUGCCAUUAAUUUGGUGUUGCGUGGAAACAGGACUGUUACUUUGAAAAAAUUAGAGUGUUUAAAGCAAGCUAACGCUUGAAUACAUUAGCAUGGAAUAAUGAAAUAGGACGAUCGAUCCUAUUUUGUUGGUUUCUAGGAUUGACGUA
RNAcentral lists this ribosomal RNA (216 nucleotides) under Glomeromycotina sp. RNAcentral's name for it is "partial small subunit ribosomal RNA". The stretch from base 40 to 216 matches the Rfam family "Eukaryotic small subunit ribosomal RNA", at positions 686 to 864 of the family's 1831-position model. Lineage: Eukaryota; Fungi; Glomeromycota. The record is from RNAcentral.